AGUAAAUUGGUUAAGUUAGAAAGGGCGCACGGUGGAUGCCUUGGCACUAGGAGCCGAAGAAGGACGGGACUAACACCGAUAUGCUUUGGGGAGCUGUACGUAAGCGUUGAUCCAGAGAUUUCCGAAUGGGGGAACCCACUAUCUUUAGUCGGAUAGUAUCCUUACGUGAAUACAUAGCGUGAGGAAGGCAGACCCAGGGAACUGAAACAUCUAAGUACCUGGAGGAAGAGAAAGAAAAAUCGAUUUCCUGAGUAGCGGCGAGCGAAACGGAAAGAGCCCAAACCAAGAAGCUUGCUUCUUGGGGUUGUAGGACACUCUAUACGGAGUUACAAAAGAAAGUUA
This 342-nucleotide ribosomal RNA is filed under the name Listeria monocytogenes. Its description in RNAcentral is "partial 23S ribosomal RNA". It matches the Rfam family "Bacterial large subunit ribosomal RNA", at positions 1 to 335 of the family's 2925-position model. The record is from RNAcentral. Lineage: Bacteria; Bacillati; Bacillota; Bacilli; Caryophanales; Listeriaceae.